Molecule: ribosomal RNA, 497 nt
Filed under: uncultured bacterium
Lineage: Bacteria
Description: partial 16S ribosomal RNA
Rfam family: Bacterial small subunit ribosomal RNA
Source: RNAcentral
GAUGAACGCUGGCGGCGUGCCUAAUACAUGCAAGUCGAGCGAACGGACGAGAAGCUUGCUUCUCUGAUGUUAGCGGCGGACGGGUGAGUAACACGUGGAUAACCUACCUAUAAGACUGGGAUAACUUCGGGAAACCGGAGCUAAUACCGGAUAAUAUUUUGAACCGCAUGGUUCAAAAGUGAAAGACGGUCUUGCUGCCACUUAUAGAUGGAUCCGCGCUGCAUUAGCUAGUUGGUAAGGUAACGGCUUACCAAGGCAACGAUGCAUAGCAGACCUGAGAGGGUGAUCGGCCACACUGGAACUGAGACACGGUCCAGACUCCUACGGGAGGCAGCAGUAGGGAAUCUUCCGCAAUGGGCGAAAGCCUGACGGAGCAACGCCGCGUGAGUGAUGAAGGUCUUCGGAUCGUAAAACUCUGUUAUUAGGGAAGAACAUAUGUGUAAGUAACUGUGCACAUCUUGACGGUACCUAAUCAGAAAGCCACGGCUAACUACGUG